CCGUUCGAUAGCUCAGUUGGCAGAGCGGUGGACUGUAGAUCCAUAAGGUCGCUGGUUCGACUGCCGGCUCGACGGA
This is a non-coding RNA of Trichonephila clavata, 76 nucleotides long. Lineage: Eukaryota; Metazoa; Arthropoda; Arachnida; Araneae; Nephilidae. The record is from the annotation of a GenBank genome assembly.